GAUGAACGCUGGCGGCGUGCCUAAUACAUGCAAGUCGAGCGAACAGACGAGGAGCUUGCUCCUCUGAAGUUAGCGGCGGACGGGUGAGUAACACGUGGAUACCCUACCUAUAAGACUGGGAUAACUUCGGGAAACCGGAGCUAAUACCGGAUAACAUGUUGAACCGCAUGGUUCUACAGUGAUAGACGGUCUUGCUGUCCCUUAUAGAUGGAUCCGCGCCGGAUUAGCUAGUUGGUAAGGUAACGGCUUACCAAGGCAACGCUGCGUAGCCGACCUGAGAGGGUGAUCGGCCACACUGGAACUGAGACACGGUCCAGACUCCUACGGGAGGCAGCAGUAGGGAAUCUUCCGCAAUGGGCGAAAGCCUGACGGAGCAACGCCGCGUGAGUGAAGAAGGUCUUCGGAUCGUAAAACUCUGUUAUUAGGGAAGAACAGAUGUGUAAGUAACUAUGCACGUCUUGACGGUACCUAAUCAGAAAGCCACGGCUAACUACGUG
RNAcentral lists this ribosomal RNA (497 nucleotides) under uncultured bacterium. RNAcentral's name for it is "partial 16S ribosomal RNA". It matches the Rfam family "Bacterial small subunit ribosomal RNA", at positions 28 to 507 of the family's 1533-position model. The record is from RNAcentral.